RNAcentral lists this small RNA (1518 nucleotides) under Malus domestica (apple). Its description in RNAcentral is "sRNA MD02G0115200". Lineage: Eukaryota; Viridiplantae; Streptophyta; Magnoliopsida; Rosales; Rosaceae. The record is from RNAcentral.
GUCUUCCAUUUUGCUCCAUCACUUUUCUGCUUCUCUUCCUCCCUCUUUCUCUUCCCCUCUCUCUGCCUCAAAUUCAAUCCGAUCAUCUAAAAACGUAGUUCCUCUAUUUUUCUCCGCCGUUUUCCAGGAAUCGAUCAUUGUUGCUGCUGUAGUAGUUAUCGUCCACGCAGUCCAUCACCGCCCGACCACACAAACCUUAACGGCGGCCGGAGAACCACAGAACCAAGAGUAAAAAAAAAAAGAGAGCGGGAAGCAGCCAAAAUACAGAGAAGAUGGCAAGAGAGAGGAGAAAUGGAAAGCAGAAAAACAAAAACCCUGUUGCAAACGUGGUGUGCUAGCGAGAUUUCUCUGUCUUUCAUUGCUGGCUGCUUUGGCUUUUUGAUUGUUCAAGAUAUUUCUUUCCGUUUUCUCUCCUGACUUCCCCUUGCAUGCAUAGCCCUGCAUCCCUGCCACGAUCUCGCCUUCGAUUCCAACAAGUGCGAUCAAUCUCGCCCUUCAAUUCCCUGCAUAAUCCUCCUUUUCCAGGCCUCUCCGCCCAUCUGUCCUGAACGAAACCGUGGAUCGACUGCUUCCCUUGAAAUCAAACCUUAAUUUUGCCCCCAAACGAAUUCGAACCCAGCCAAACUCAAAUCCCUGCAAUUUUUUUUGCCUUUAAAAGGUUUGGAUCGGUGCCGAUUGAUGUUGGAUUUUGUGAGGCUGGAUUUCUUACCUCUAAGAUUUGUUGGUGUUUUCUCUAUAUUGUUAGAUCUGUGGCACGGUGUGUCUCCAUAUCACCACCAAUGGAAGUUUUGAUUAGAAGAGGAGGCACAGGCAACUGGUCAAGAGACUUGGCUCGAUUUUCGACGGGGGACAAAGAUUUAGAUGGAUUCUAGAUGGAAAUUAAUCGCAGAGGUAAACGUCAACAGCAUGAAGGCUUUGACUAGUGAGAGACAUGCUGAGCAAGCAAAUGCGAAGGCGACUCUCUGAGGAUGAAAGAAACAACCUCUACCCAAAGUGGGGUAUCAGUUUGCAUUCGCAGCAUAGGCAGUUGCAAUUGGAAGACCUUCUGUGGAAUGAAACACAAAACCUGGACCGUGUCAUGGACAGUGCCACAAUUGUUGCAAAGUUGGUAGGUUCAGUAGAGCCCGAGCAAGCAUUCAAUGAGAUGUUUGGACUCAGAUUUGCACCGCGAGACACUCUUGCAAAGCCGAAAUCUCACUUUUGGUCAGAAAGUUUCAAGUCUCUUGUGUAAGCUUGCGAGAUUGAUCACGCAGUAUACAAGUUUCAUCAAGUCCAAUUCCAUUCGCGUAUAGGUUAUGAUUCCGUGAUAAAUAUCCCAUUUGAUCUUUUAAUUGUAUAUUUUUUUCUUUUUUUGAUCUGUUUUCUGAUUGUAAUUUUUUUGUUUUUGAGUUGAAGUUCUGACUAAUUGAUUGUAAAUUUGGUCGGGCUAGAAAUGGUGCGUAAGGCUUCCCUAGUUGCUUGUAAAGUAAAAUUCCUUACUGAUACUCGAAAGAAAAGAACACUAAGCUACACUUUUUA